RNAcentral lists this ribosomal RNA (300 nucleotides) under Acinetobacter baumannii. RNAcentral describes it as "bacterial SSU rRNA". It matches the Rfam family "Bacterial small subunit ribosomal RNA", at positions 153 to 455 of the family's 1533-position model. Lineage: Bacteria; Pseudomonadati; Pseudomonadota; Gammaproteobacteria; Moraxellales; Moraxellaceae. The record is from RNAcentral.
GAAAGGGAUGCUAAUACCGCAUACGUCCUACGGGAGAAAGCAGGGGAUCUUCGGACCUUGCGCUAAUAGAUGAGCCUAAGUCGGAUUAGCUAGUUGGUGGGGUAAAGGCCUACCAAGGCGACGAUCUGUAGCGGGUCUGAGAGGAUGAUCCGCCACACUGGGACUGAGACACGGCCCAGACUCCUACGGGAGGCAGCAGUGGGGAAUAUUGGACAAUGGGGGGAACCCUGAUCCAGCCAUGCCGCGUGUGUGAAGAAGGCCUUAUGGUUGUAAAGCACUUUAAGCGAGGAGGAGGCUACU